AUAAUGGGUCAGCGACUUAUAUUCUGUAGCAAGGUUAACCGAAUAGGGGAGCCGAAGGGAAACCGAGUCUUAACUGGGCGUUAAGUUGCAGGGUAUAGACCCGAAACCCGGUGAUCUAGCCAUGGGCAGGUUGAAGGUUGGGUAACACUAACUGGAGGACCGAACCGACUAAUGUUGAAAAAUUAGCGGAUGACUUGUGGCUGGGGGUGAAAGGCCAAUCAAACCGGGAGAUAGCUGGUUCUCCCCGAAAGCUAUUUAGGUAGCGCCUCGUGAAUUCAUCUCCGGGGGUAGAGCACUGUUUCGGCAAGGGGGUCAUCCCGACUUACCAACCCGAUGCAAACUGCGAAUACCGGAGAAUGUUAUCACGGGAGACACACGGCGGGUGCUAACGUCCGUCGUGAAGAGGGAAACAACCCAGACCGCCAGCUAAGGUCCCAAAGUCAUGGUUAAGUGGGAAACGAUGUGGGAAGGCCCAGACAGCCAGGAUGUUGGCUUAGAAGCAGCCAUCAUUUAAAGAAAGCGUAAUAGCUCACUGGUCGAGUCGGCCUGCGCGGAAGAUGUAACGGGGCUAAACCAUGCACCGAAGCUGCGGCAGCGACACUGUGUGUUGUUGGGUAGGGGAGCGUUCUGUAAGCCUGCGAAGGUGUGCUGUGAGGCAUGCUGGAGGUAUCAGAAGUGCGAAUGCUGACAUAAGUAACGAUAAAGCGGGUGAAAAGCCCGCUCGCCGGAAGACCAAGGGUUCCUGUCCAACGUUAAUCGGGGCAGGGUGAGUCGACCCCUAAGGCGAGGCCGAAAGGCGUAGUCGAUGGGAAACAGGUUAAUAUUCCUGUACUUGGUGUUACUGCGAAGGGGGGACGGAGAAGGCUAUGUUGGCCGGGCGACGGUUGUCCCGGUUUAAGCGUGUAGGCUGGUUUUCCAGGCAAAUCCGGAAAAUCAAGGCUGAGGCGUGAUGACGAGGCACUACGGUGCUGAAGCAACAAAUGCCCUGCUUCCAGGAAAAGCCUCUAAGCAUCAGGUAACAUCAAAUCGUACCCCAAACCGACACAGGUGGUCAGGUAGAGAAUACCAAGGCGCUUGAGAGAACUCGGGUGAAGGAACUAGGCAAAAUGGUGCCGUAACUUCGGGAGAAGGCACGCUGAUAUGUAGGUGAAGUCCCUCGCGGAUGGAGCUGAAAUCAGUCGAAGAUACCAGCUGGCUGCAACUGUUUAUUAAAAACACAGCACUGUGCAAACACGAAAGUGGACGUAUACGGUGUGACGCCUGCCCGGUGC
RNAcentral lists this ribosomal RNA (1271 nucleotides) under Escherichia coli. RNAcentral describes it as "partial 23S ribosomal RNA". It matches the Rfam family "Bacterial large subunit ribosomal RNA", at positions 612 to 1869 of the family's 2925-position model. Lineage: Bacteria; Pseudomonadati; Pseudomonadota; Gammaproteobacteria; Enterobacterales; Enterobacteriaceae. The record is from RNAcentral.